This 492-nucleotide ribosomal RNA is filed under the name uncultured bacterium. RNAcentral's name for it is "partial 16S ribosomal RNA". It matches the Rfam family "Bacterial small subunit ribosomal RNA", at positions 29 to 507 of the family's 1533-position model. The record is from RNAcentral.
AGUGAACGUUGGCGGUAGGCCUAACACAUGCAAGUCGAACGGCAGCACAGUAAGAGCUUGCUCUUACGGGUGGCGAGUGGCGGACGGGUGAGGAAUACAUCGGAAUCUACUUUUUCGUGGGGGAUAACGUAGGGAAACUUACGCUAAUACCGCAUACGACCUACGGGUGAAAGCAGGGGAUCUUCGGACCUUGCGCGAUUGAAUGAGCCGAUGUCGGAUUAGCUAGUUGGCGGGGUGAAGGCCCACCAAGGCGACGAUCCGUAGCUGGUCUGAGAGGAUGAUCAGCCACACUGGAACUGAGACACGGUCCAGACUCCUACGGGAGGCAGCAGUGGGGAAUAUUGGACAAUGGGCGCAAGCCUGAUCCAGCCAUACCGCGUGGGUGAAGAAGGCCUUCGGGUUGUAAAGCCCUUUUGUUGGGAAAGAAAAGCAGCAGGUUAAUACCCCGCUGUUCUGACGGUACCCAAAGAAUAAGCACCGGCUAACUUCGUG